Molecule: ribosomal RNA, 353 nt
Filed under: uncultured bacterium
Lineage: Bacteria
Description: partial 16S ribosomal RNA
Rfam family: Bacterial small subunit ribosomal RNA
Source: RNAcentral
CCUACGGGUGGCUGCAGUGGGGAAUAUUGCUCAAUGGGCGAAACCCUGAAGCAGCAACGCCGCGUGAAGGAUGAAGGCUUUCGGGUUGUAAACUUCUUUUGUCAGGGAAGAUUAUGACGGUAUCUAACGAAUAAUCACCGGCUACCACCGACCCAGCAGCCGCCGUAAUACGGCGGGUGCGAACGUUACUCGGAGUCACUGGGCGUAAAGGGGGUCUAGGCGGGGUAGUAAGUCAGAUGUGAAAUCCUGGAGCUUAACUAACGAACUGCAUGUGAAACUGUUCUUCUGGAGUGUGAGAGAGGUAGGUGGAAUUCUUGGUGUAGGGGUGAAAUGCGUAGAGAUCAAGAGGAAUA